UCCGAUGUAGUGUAACGGCUANCACGCUUUCACCGUGGAGACCGGGGUUCGACUCCCCGUAUCGGAA
RNAcentral lists this transfer RNA (67 nucleotides) under Zygosaccharomyces bailii CLIB 213. RNAcentral describes it as "tRNA-Und (NNN) (tRNA-Und-NNN-6-1)". It matches the Rfam family "tRNA". Rfam says of the family: Transfer RNA (tRNA) molecules are approximately 80 nucleotides in length. Their secondary structure includes four short double-helical elements and three loops (D, anti-codon, and T loops). Further hydrogen bonds mediate the characteristic L-shaped molecular structure. tRNAs have two regions of fundamental functional importance: the anti-codon, which is responsible for specific mRNA codon recognition, and the 3' end, to which the tRNAs corresponding amino acid is attached (by aminoacyl-tRNA synthetases). tRNAs cope with the degeneracy of the genetic code in two manners: having more than one tRNA (with a specific anti-codon) for a particular amino acid; and 'wobble' base-pairing, i.e. permitting non-standard base-pairing at the 3rd anti-codon position. The record is from RNAcentral. Lineage: Eukaryota; Fungi; Ascomycota; Saccharomycetes; Saccharomycetales; Saccharomycetaceae.